Molecule: small nucleolar RNA, 65 nt
Organism: Triplophysa rosa
Lineage: Eukaryota; Metazoa; Chordata; Actinopteri; Cypriniformes; Nemacheilidae
Product: small nucleolar RNA SNORD52
Exons: 1
Source: RefSeq, a predicted model, not a curated record
UGUAAUGAUGAUUCAUUAGACUAGAGUCUCUGAUUUACCAGUGAAGAUUUAUAGUGCACUGAACA